UACAUGGUUUAGCAUGGCAACAUUGUAUCGUCCCUAGCCACCCUCCUUAAUUUGUCCCCGCAGUAAAACAUAUCACGCUAAAUUUUACAGUGAAUUUCACCCUAAAUAUAACCAUUUCAUUCAGGCACCAACCUCUUCAAUAUCCCAUUGAAUUACGUUGUACUUAGCAAUUAUGGAGAGACGUAAUUACACGGCGAUGUUGCUUCUCGUUUUUGCGACCGUCCAGAUUUAUUCCUCCCUCGAAGGUGUCAACAUCGACGAGGACGACUUCUGGGGUUUAAUAUUCGUGAAUUUUCUUUAGGCCCAAGAUGGUUUGGCAGCGAUCGGAUCGAAUGGAAUCGCAGCCGAAAACGAGUCGAGCGUUGAUCUUCCGUCCGGAGAUGAAGAAGAGAAACAUUCAUUUUUACCGGUGAAAUCUGUCGGUCAGGCCGACAAAAGGAUAAGAAGGACACCGGGAGCAUCGAAGAACGCUAAUAAGAAGUUGGAGAAACUAAAAAAAGCGUUGGAAAACAACCAUGUAACACCGAUCGUGUCGCGACCCGAAGAUAUAGCGCGUACCCAACGCAACGAUCUGUUAAGAGAAUUUGAAAGAAUAGUAGCAAGGUUAAUGGAACAAAGGAGGAUAAGCAGGGAGCUGGCGACCGUGCAGGCAAUGCUCGAAAAUGAGGGAUUGGUUAACCAAAUAGUUGAAGCACAUGACUGAAUUAUUCUUGUACCUAGUUCUCAAAGAGUUCUCACAAUUCUUGCAGUAAGAUGAUUAAAUUUGGGUUUCAAAAGCACAGGCAUUUUCUAAUUUUGUUUUAUUUCGUUUUUAUUAUGAAAUUUAUUAAUGUUUUGUGAAGCGACGCACGAAAAACGGCUUUUAGGAGUGUUGCUAUCGGGUAGAAAAAAUUGCGUCAUUUAGAAGGAGAAUAUUAAAUUAAAAAAGUCUCACUUCCAUAAUAUUAUCAAAAAUCGACCAAUAUUCUCAAUUGUAAAGUUGAAAUAAAAAAGCACAAAAUUAUCGCAGGGCUAUAAAGCACUCCUUGCCUUUUCGUUCACUUACAAGGAAAAACCGUCGCUCAUCCUCGAAUCGCGUUUAAAAACUUCGUGAUCGAUCACGAAAAUAAGUA
Long non-coding RNA from Venturia canescens, 1112 nucleotides. RefSeq lists it as uncharacterized. The record is from RefSeq and is a predicted model, not a curated record. The transcript has 3 exons. NCBI's taxonomy places the organism in Eukaryota, Metazoa, Arthropoda, Insecta, Hymenoptera, Ichneumonidae.